AUGUUGCUCAGCUGUUUGCCGGUCGUCGUCCUCCUCCUCCUGGCAACUGCCUCCGAAGGAACGACAGAGUACAAUGCCGCCACCACCACCGAUGUGGGAUUAACCAAUGAGACAUCCACCACUGCUGCAGCCUAUUCCACGGCUGUAGAAGCGACCAGCGACAAUGGAACCAGCGGUUUUACAACUUCACUUCCACUGACUACAGAGCAGCUCACAGCUUCAGCAACAACCGUAGGAAACGCCACAACAGAAUCUGCAACUGUGGAAUCAAACGUCACCAGUGCACAGACGACUCUCUCCCAUCCGAACAACAGCACCGGGACUACCACAGAAACCGUCAGCGGCAACGCAACUGACAAUAACUUCACCACUUGGAGCCCAACGCAAUCUGCGUCAUCUCCGUCCAAUGCCACAGUGCUGUCCACUACCAGCGCAGAGACCAGCGCCACCAACACGAGUGAGACGACAAGUACAACAACUGCACCUUCUUCAGCUCACACACUGACCAGCAAUGGCACAACAAUGUCUACACAAGUCACACACACAAGCAACAACACCACUAUGACUACACCAAGCAACAACACCACUAUGACUACACCAGGCAACAACACCACUAUGACUACACCAAGCAACAACACCACAAUGACUACAUCAAGCAACAACACAACAAUGACUACAUCAAGCAACAACAUCACUAUGACUACACCAAGCAACAACACGACAAUGACUACACCAAGCAACAACAUCACUAUGACUACACCAAGCAACAACAUCACUAUGACUACACCAAGCAACAACACGACAAUGACUACACCAGGCAAUAACACCACUAUGACUACACCAGGCAAUAACACCACUAUGACUACACCAGGCAAUAACACCACUAUGACUACACCAAGCAACAACACCACUAUGACUACACCAAGCAACAACAUCACUUUGACUACACCAAGCAACAACACGACAAUGACUACACCAAGCAACAACACGACAAUGACUACACCAAGCAACAACACAACAAUGACUACACCAAGCAACAACACGACAAUGACUACACCAAGCAACAACAUCACUAUGACUACACCAAGCAACAACAUCACUAUGACUACACCAAGCAACAACAUGACAAUGACUACACCAAGCAACAACACAACAAUGACUACAUCAAGCAACUACACAACAAUGACUACACCAGGCAACAAUGCCACUAUGACUACACCGAGCAACAACACCACUAUGACUACACCAAGCAACAACACCACUAUGACUACACCAGGCAACAACAAUGCCACAAUGACUACACCAGGCAACAACAACAUCACUAUGACUACACCAAGCAACAACAACACAACGACUACACCAAGUAACAACACGACGACUACACCAAGCAACAACACAACGACUACACCAAGCAACAACAUAACGACUACACCAAGCAACAACAUAACAAUGACUACACCCGCCACACAAACGACCAACAACACAACCCCAUUUACAGCCACAACACAAACCAGCAACAGCACAACAACCACACGUCCAGUAACACCAGACAACUCCACAUCUGUAGUUACCACCACUACGCCCACAAACUCCACUCUCACCUCCCCUGAGACCCCCCAACCUCGUCCUCCACCAUCAGCAGCAAUGCAACAGUCGGACCCCCACCCACUACACCUACUUUCAACUCCACCUCCGUCCCUCCAAACACCUCCCCCGGCAGUAGCGCCGCAACCCCCACCGGAAACACCACCACCCUUAGUCCCUCAGCAACAACCACCGGAGUCACCACGAGUUCAACUGAACCAGGCAAUGCCACCACAGCCUCAUCCACCACCGCCGCCGUCACCACCACCACCAACACCGUCACCAACUCCACCACGGCAGCUCCGCCCAUCAUCCCCACCCUGAGCCCAGUCAUCGAGUGCUCCUCCUGCCCACUGGACAGCGUUUGUCUCGACGGCACGUGCCAGUGUCUCACCGGCAGCUUCCUGCUGGACGGCCGCUGCGUCCCCG
RNAcentral lists this long non-coding RNA (2013 nucleotides) under Scophthalmus maximus (turbot). Its description in RNAcentral is "lncRNA (ENSSMAG00000011183.2)". Lineage: Eukaryota; Metazoa; Chordata; Actinopteri; Pleuronectiformes; Scophthalmidae. The record is from RNAcentral.